ACCUUACCCAGAGUUGUAUGUGAGGAAAUAAAGGCUUGAGAGAUCUUGAGGUGGCAGUUUACAGGAGGGUAAAAGGAAACAGGAGUUAGAAUAAACAAUGUUAGUAAAAACUUGGAUGCAAGAUUGACCUUAUGCAAUCUCUAAGGUACAUUGAAUUGAAUGAGGGAGAGAGUUCUAAACUGCUUGUUCUCAGUCUACUCCAGGUAAAGCUUACAAAACUGCCUGUUGGGUUCUUUCAUCGUUAUUGUUGCCACUGGAAGGGCUUUUACCACCACUUUUGAACUCUACAGCCUCCUGAAUAUAUCUGUCCAUCUAAGAAAAGGAUUAAAUUCAAGAUAACCCUUGUCAUCUGCAUGCUGCCACAUGGUUAGGAUGAAGACUGACACACGAGACAAGUGAUGGAGUGUCACAGCCACAGAGGGGCACAUCAACCUGAUACAAGAGAAAUGGAGCGAGGAGAGGUUAAAUCACAGAAUUUGGAAAGAAAAAGGGCAUCCAACAGCCUUAAAGAUGAAGAAAUGGAAGCUC
This 528-nucleotide long non-coding RNA is filed under the name Homo sapiens (human). RNAcentral's name for it is "HSALNT0337176". Lineage: Eukaryota; Metazoa; Chordata; Mammalia; Primates; Hominidae. The record is from RNAcentral.